UACGUAGGAGGCGAGCGUUGUCCGGAAUUACUGGGCGUAAAGAGCGCGUAGGCGGCGCGACACGACCGGUGUGAAAGCCCCCGGCUCAACCGGGGAGGGUCAUCGGUAACGGUCGUGCUACGAGUGCAGGAGAGGGACGUGGAACUCCGGGAGUAGCGGUGAAAUGCGUAGAGACCCGGAGGAACACCAGUGGCGAAGGCGGCGUCCUGGCCUGCGACUGACGCUGUGGCGCGAAAGCUAGGGGAGCGAACGGG
This 254-nucleotide ribosomal RNA is filed under the name uncultured bacterium. RNAcentral's name for it is "partial 16S ribosomal RNA". It matches the Rfam family "Bacterial small subunit ribosomal RNA", at positions 524 to 776 of the family's 1533-position model. The record is from RNAcentral.